Molecule: small RNA, 123 nt
Filed under: Marmota monax (woodchuck)
Lineage: Eukaryota; Metazoa; Chordata; Mammalia; Rodentia; Sciuridae
Source: RNAcentral
ACUGGGUGUGGUGGUGCAUGCCUGUAAUCCUAGGACUUGGGAGGUGGAGGCAGGAGAAUCACAAGUUCAAGGCCAAUCUUAGCAUCUUAUGAGACCCUCAACUACUUAGUGAUACUCCCUCCC